Molecule: ribosomal RNA, 206 nt
Filed under: uncultured bacterium
Lineage: Bacteria
Description: partial 16S ribosomal RNA
Rfam family: Bacterial small subunit ribosomal RNA
Source: RNAcentral
UGCGUAGGCGGCUUUGCAAGUCAGAUGUGAAAUCUAUGGGCUCAACCCAUAAACUGCAUUUGAAACUGUAGAGCUUGAGUGAAGUAGAGGCAGGCGGAAUUCCCCGUGUGCGGUGAAAUGCGUAGAGAUGGGGAGGAACACCAGUGGCGAAGGCGGCCUGCUGGGCUUUAACUGACGCUGAGGACGAAAGCGUGGGGUAGCAAACA